Long non-coding RNA from Thalassophryne amazonica, 196 nucleotides. RefSeq lists it as uncharacterized. NCBI's taxonomy places the organism in Eukaryota, Metazoa, Chordata, Actinopteri, Batrachoidiformes, Batrachoididae. The record is from RefSeq and is a predicted model, not a curated record. The transcript is spliced from 2 exons.
AAACCUGGCUCAUGAAUUCAUUGAUGUUUCUGAAGAAGCAUGUCACCCAGCGUGCCACUGAAAGCAGCAGACGGAGCCCUUGAGUGAACCAGAAGAAGACGCCUCGAUGUCUGAAGAAACAUCUGUGGAGGAACCGUCUGUUCUACAGAAUGAUGACCUUUCCCUUCCUGUACUUCCUAGACCUACUGUAAAAAAG